This 73-nucleotide transfer RNA is filed under the name Ailuropoda melanoleuca (giant panda). It matches the Rfam family "tRNA". Rfam says of the family: Transfer RNA (tRNA) molecules are approximately 80 nucleotides in length. Their secondary structure includes four short double-helical elements and three loops (D, anti-codon, and T loops). The record is from Rfam by way of RNAcentral. Lineage: Eukaryota; Metazoa; Chordata; Mammalia; Carnivora; Ursidae.
GCCUGGCUGGCUCAGCCAGUAGAGCAUAAGACUCUUGAUCUCGGGGCUGUGAGUUCGAGCCCCAAGCUGGGCA